ACGGGGCGCAGCAGGCGCGAAAACUUUACAAUGCGAGAAAUCGUGAUAAGGGAACCCCGAGUGCCCGUAAAUUCGGGCUGUCCGCCAGUGCAAAAAACUGGCGAAGAAAGAGCCGGGCAAGACCGGUGCCAGCCGCCGCGGUAACACCGGCGGCUCGAGUGGUGGUCACUAUUACUGGGCUUAAAGCGUCCGUAGCUUGGUUGUUAAGUCUCUUGGGAAAUCCACCGGCUCAACCGAUGGGCGUCAGGAGAUACUGGCAACCUAGGGACCAGGAGAGGUGAGGGGUACUCCAGGGGUAGGAGUGAAAUCCUGUAAUCCUUGGGGGACCACCUGUGGCGAAGGCGUCUCACUAGAACGGCUCCGACAGUGAGGGACGAAAGCUGGGGGAGCAAACCGGAUUAGAUACCCGGGUAGUCCUAGCCGUAAACGAUACUCGCUAGGUGUCGGCCACGGUGCGACCGUUGUCGGUGCCGUAGGGAAGCCGUGAAGCGAGCCACCUGGGAAGUACGGCCGCAAGGCUGAAACUUAAAGGAAUUGGCGGGGGAGCACCACAACGGGUGGAGCUUGCGGUUUAAUUGGAUUCAACGCCG
Molecule: ribosomal RNA, 590 nt
Filed under: uncultured archaeon
Lineage: Archaea
Description: bacterial SSU rRNA
Rfam family: Archaeal small subunit ribosomal RNA
Source: RNAcentral